UGGCAAGAAAAAGUUCUGUAAAGAUAGCACUUCUUAGCACAGUCCUCGCCCAUGUUAUUAAAAGAUGCAUUUCCACUUUGACAGUGAUUUCCCCACCAGAGGAGAGCCUGGUUGGGCAGCUCUGAGCCCCUUAGCCCGUAUCUUUCCCGUCAGCUAGCAUUGGCUGCCACCAGCCCUCCCUUCUCCCUCACCUCUCCAGGGCGUACCUAGAGCAGCUAUUAAAACUCUAAGCCGU
Molecule: small RNA, 235 nt
Filed under: Pongo abelii (Sumatran orangutan)
Lineage: Eukaryota; Metazoa; Chordata; Mammalia; Primates; Hominidae
Description: sense intronic
Source: RNAcentral